GAUGAACGCUGGCGGCGUGCUUAACACAUGCAAGUCGAACGAGAAGUGAAGACGGAAACCUUCGGGCGGAAGGCUUUAUUUCGAGUGGCGGACGGGUGAGUAACGCGUGGGUAACCUGCCUCAUACAGGGGGAUAACAGUUGGAAACGACUGUUAAUACCGCAUAAGACCACAGCACCGCAUGGUGCGGGGGUAAAAACUCCGGUGGUAUGAGAUGGACCCGCGUUCGAUUAGCCAGUUGGCGGGGUAACGGCCCACCAAAGCGACGAUCGAUAGCCGAUCUGAGAGGAUGACCGGCCACAUUGGGACUGAGACACGGCCCAAACUCCUACGGGAGGCAGCAGUGGGGAAUAUUGCACAUUGGGGGAAACCCUGAUGCAGCGACGCCGCGUGAGUGAAGAAGUAUUUCGGUAUGUAAAGCUCUAUCAGCAGGGAAGAAAAUGACGGUACCUGAGUAAGAAGCCCCGGCUAACUACGUG
Molecule: ribosomal RNA, 478 nt
Filed under: uncultured bacterium
Lineage: Bacteria
Description: partial 16S ribosomal RNA
Rfam family: Bacterial small subunit ribosomal RNA
Source: RNAcentral